RNAcentral lists this ribosomal RNA (504 nucleotides) under uncultured bacterium. RNAcentral's name for it is "partial 16S ribosomal RNA". It matches the Rfam family "Bacterial small subunit ribosomal RNA", at positions 29 to 523 of the family's 1533-position model. The record is from RNAcentral.
AUUGAACGCUGGCGGCAGGCUUAACACAUGCAAGUCGGACGGUAGCACAGAGAGCUUGCUCUUGGGUGACGAGUGGCGGACGGGUGAGUAAUGUCUGGGGAUCUGCCCGAUAGAGGGGGAUAACCACUGGAAACGGUGGCUAAUACCGCAUAACGUCGCAAGACCAAAGAGGGGGACCUUCGGGCCUCUCACUAUCGGAUGAACCCAGAUGGGAUUAGCUAGUAGGCGGGGUAAUGGCCCACCUAGGCGACGAUCCCUAGCUGGUCUGAGAGGAUGACCAGCCACACUGGAGCUGAGACACGGUCCAGACUCCUACGGGAGGCAGCAGUGGGGAAUAUUGCACAAUGGGCGCAAGCCUGAUGCAGCCAUGCCACGUGUAUGAGGAAGGCCUUCGGGUUGUAAAGUACUUUCAGCGGGGAGGAAGGCGGUGAGGUUAAUAACCUCGCCGAUUGACGUUACCCGCAGAAGAAGCACCGGCUAACUCCGUGCCAGCAGCCGCCGUAA